This 56-nucleotide transfer RNA is filed under the name Triticum aestivum (bread wheat). It matches the Rfam family "tRNA", at positions 10 to 63 of the family's 71-position model. Rfam says of the family: Transfer RNA (tRNA) molecules are approximately 80 nucleotides in length. Their secondary structure includes four short double-helical elements and three loops (D, anti-codon, and T loops). Further hydrogen bonds mediate the characteristic L-shaped molecular structure. tRNAs have two regions of fundamental functional importance: the anti-codon, which is responsible for specific mRNA codon recognition, and the 3' end, to which the tRNAs corresponding amino acid is attached (by aminoacyl-tRNA synthetases). tRNAs cope with the degeneracy of the genetic code in two manners: having more than one tRNA (with a specific anti-codon) for a particular amino acid; and 'wobble' base-pairing, i.e. permitting non-standard base-pairing at the 3rd anti-codon position. RNAcentral also lists the same sequence under 1 other name. Lineage: Eukaryota; Viridiplantae; Streptophyta; Magnoliopsida; Poales; Poaceae. The record is from Rfam by way of RNAcentral.
ACUCAGUUGGUAGAGUACAAAGCUCUUAACCUUGUGGACGUGGGUUUAAGCCCCAU